Molecule: unclassified non-coding RNA, 362 nt
Filed under: uncultured bacterium
Lineage: Bacteria
Description: contains 16S-23S intergenic spacer region
Source: RNAcentral
UCCCCGUUACCGAGGCAGUCUGACUAGAAAAAUCCAACUAAUCAUAAGGGUUGCGCUCGUUGAUGGACUUAACCAAACAUCUCACGACACGAGCUGACGACGGCCAUGCAUCACCUGUCACUGCGGCCCGAAGGCACUUUCUCCUUUCGGAGAAAUGAGCAGGAUGUCAAGUCUGGGUAAGGUUCUUCGCUUACCAUCGAAUUAAACAACACGCUCCACCGCUUGUGCGGGUCCCCGUCAAUUCCUUUGAGUUUUAAUCUUGCGACCGUACUCCCCAGGCGGCAUGCUUAACGCGUUAGCUUCGCUACUACUCGGGUCGAUACGAAUAACAGCUAGCAUGCAUCGUUUACGGCGUGGACUAC